GAUUUGCACAGAGGUAGUUGUUGAUGACAUAGAAGGUAUAACCUUUUUGCCUAACCUUUUUAAGUAUUAGUUAAAAGUAUAGUUAAAUAUAAAAGCAAACACAAUGUUUUUUUUUAAGAUAAUCCGAUUUUAAUACAGUCUGCAUGCACUACAGUAUAGUGAUUUUAAAAGAAAUAAUAAUAAAUAAAUAAAAUCAAUCAUAUAUACAUGAAAAGACUUAAUCACAUUUCAGAUGUCCAGUCACCAUUGAUGAAGGACGAAAACAGCACACUGGAUGACAUUAUAUCCGAAAAAACAAAGGCUGAUGUCAAUAACCUUCUUGAUUUUUCUCUUAUAAACAAUACAAUCUUUGAUGAAAACGUAAACCUCCAGCGCAUUAAAAAAUAUUUUACCACUGAAGCUUGGAAACAACUAAAAGUUAAGAUCACGGAAAGAAGGGAAACAUGCGACUGGAUAUGUAUAAAGUGUAAAACAAAACCUACACGAUCAGGACUCGUUGGCAUGUGAUUGCUGUUUAGACUGGCAACAUUUGAAAUGUGCAGGGUUGAAAUCUGUGCCAAAACAAUCAUAUUGGAUAUGUAAAAUUUGUUCGAAAUCUUAACUAGUCAGUUACAUGAAUCAUUUAUAAUUGGUUUAAAUUGAUUUAUUACUUGCUUCUUUAAUUUUUAUAAACUCAAGCUUUAAUUUUAGUAGUUUUAUAUAUUUUAAAAUUUCAGUUUCUG
RNAcentral lists this long non-coding RNA (722 nucleotides) under Mytilus galloprovincialis (Mediterranean mussel). Lineage: Eukaryota; Metazoa; Mollusca; Bivalvia; Mytilida; Mytilidae. The record is from RNAcentral.